UACGUAGGGGGCGAGCGUUAAUCGGAAUUACUGGGCGUAAAGCGUGCGCAGGCGGCUUUGCAAGACAGACGUGAAAUCCCCGGGCUCAACCUGGGAACUGCUUUCAAAACUGCUGAGCUAGAGUACGGUAGAGGGUGGUGGAAUUUCCUGUGUAGCAGUGAAAUGCGUAGAUAUGCGGAGGAACACCAAUGGCGAAGGCAAUCCCCUGGGCCUGUACUGACGCUCAUGCACGAAAGCGUGGGGAGCAAACAGG
RNAcentral lists this ribosomal RNA (253 nucleotides) under uncultured bacterium. RNAcentral describes it as "partial 16S ribosomal RNA". It matches the Rfam family "Bacterial small subunit ribosomal RNA", at positions 524 to 776 of the family's 1533-position model. The record is from RNAcentral.